GGGCCUUUAGUCGAGUGGUAAGACGCCUCGUUCGCAACGAGGAGACCGCGGGUUCGAUUCCCGCAGGGUCCA
This 72-nucleotide transfer RNA is filed under the name Candidatus Iainarchaeum sp. RNAcentral describes it as "tRNA-Ala". It matches the Rfam family "tRNA". Rfam says of the family: Transfer RNA (tRNA) molecules are approximately 80 nucleotides in length. The record is from RNAcentral. Lineage: Archaea; Nanobdellati; Candidatus Iainarchaeota; Candidatus Iainarchaeia; Candidatus Iainarchaeales; Candidatus Iainarchaeaceae.